RNAcentral lists this transfer RNA (63 nucleotides) under Megathymus cofaqui cofaqui. RNAcentral describes it as "tRNA-Arg". Lineage: Eukaryota; Metazoa; Arthropoda; Insecta; Lepidoptera; Hesperiidae. The record is from RNAcentral.
AAAUAUGAAGCAAAAUUUGCAUUUAAUUUCGACUUAAAAGAAUGAGUUAUUACUCCAUAUUUA